GAUGAACGCUGGCGGCGUGCCUAAUACAUGCAAGUCGAACGAGGAGUCUUUGUAGCAAUACGGAGGCUUCCUAGUGGCGAACGGGUGAGUAACGCGUUGGUGACCUGCCCCAAAGUGUGGGAUAACAGACCGAAAGGUUUGCUAAUACCGCAUGUGGUCUUGAGGAUUAGAUGCCUCAUUUCGAAAGGAGUAAUCCGCUUUGGGAGGGACCUGCGUCCCAUCAGCUAGUUGGUAGGGUAACGGCUUACCAAGGCUUCGACGGGUAGGGGGCCUGAGAGGGUGGCCCCCCACAAUGGAACUGAAACACGGUCCAUACACCUACGGGAGGCAG
RNAcentral lists this ribosomal RNA (331 nucleotides) under uncultured Chloroflexota bacterium. RNAcentral's name for it is "bacterial SSU rRNA". It matches the Rfam family "Bacterial small subunit ribosomal RNA", at positions 28 to 351 of the family's 1533-position model. The record is from RNAcentral. Lineage: Bacteria; Bacillati; Chloroflexota.